CACAGGUGAGAGAGUUUGAGUGCACAGGUGUGCGUGCGUGUGAGCGUGCGUGCGUGCGUGCGAGAAGGUCAGAGUGCGCCGCGUGUCCGUGAGUGAAAGUGCGCGUUUUUGUGUUCAGAUGGAGGACGCCCCCAGCUCCCAGAAGAGCGGGCGACUUUCUUCCUCUCACGACUUGGGGAGAGGAGGAGGAGGACCGUUUCCGACGUGGACAGGUUUCGGCGUCUUAGGGGUGAGAGCAGCUGUUUUCACAAUGUUGCCUGUUGAAGAAUCCAGGCCCGUUGUCUCAUGGAAGGUCCACGUCCAGGAUCUGCCUGUGUUUCCUUACAAUGUCAUUGAACUUGUUCCUCUGGCCCCUGUAUUGCCUAUAAACUUGAAGGUAGGCCUGGCGACUUGAUUAGAUACUUCUUAGCCCAUCUGGGGGAGACUAACCCAUGGGCAGGGCUCCCUUGGUGCUGACCUGGAGGCCCUCAGGAGGUUGCCCACCACAGUCCCAUGUCAUGCUGAGUUGCUGACAGCUGGGUCUCCUCAUUGUAAGGGGUCAGUUUCCUUGAAGGGAAAUGUUUGUCCUAUCCUGUCUCUC
Molecule: long non-coding RNA, 580 nt
Filed under: Sus scrofa (pig)
Lineage: Eukaryota; Metazoa; Chordata; Mammalia; Artiodactyla; Suidae
Description: lncRNA (ENSSSCG00035002360.1)
Source: RNAcentral